GGGGGUUGGGGAAGGUGGACAAUGUUCUUUUUUGUUUUAUCUUCCUGUUUAUACUGAUUUUAUUAUUUAUAUUUAAACUCUCUAUGUAUUUCUUACAUAGUUGUCUUCUCUUGAGUACAGGUUGUAUAAACGUAUAUGAAAUGGACAAUGUACCUGUAAACCCCCUAACAAAACAAUGUCAAAACAAAUAAACAAUUGGUCACAAAAAACUACUUUACAUGGAAGGAUUGCUUUUGAUUUGACAGCCUGCACAUGACAACCGUUAGACCUGAUGACGUGUUCUGCACAUGGGCAGUUCAGGACAACAGUUAGACCUGAUGACGUGUUCUGCACAUGGGCAGUUCAGGACAACCAUUAGACCUGAUGAUGUGUUCUGCACAUGGGCAGUUCAGGACAACCCUUAGACCUGAUGAUGUGUUCUGCACAUGGGCAGUUCAGGACAACCCUUAAACCUGAUGAUGUGUUCUGCACAUGAGCUUAGCGAGCCAACGUUGCCAUGACAUCGCCUACAAACAUUAUCGAGGAUUUCUAUUGGAGAAAUAGUUUCUUCCUUCAUACUGUCCUGCUAUGGUAAAGACAUUCUCUUGAGUAGUUAUCAGACCGAGUACUGUAAGGCAUGUUGUAAUGGUAACCAUGGUAAAGUGAUGACAUCACUCACGUCAUCCAAAAACAUGGCAGCCAUUGGAUGAGAACGACUUCCCACUCUCAUUAAAGCCACAGAAGUUCGAGGCAGGCUGCGGUACCGCAGGCAUUGUUUGCAAAAACAGGAUUCUCCAUUAUAGUGAAUUUGACAUUUUUUGAUCAUCGUGGUCAAUCUUUGUGUAAUUAAAAACCAAUUUUUGAAGACAGUCAUGCUGCCAAUAAUUGCUUCUGAAACACCAGAUAUAUGUCCUCAAACCGAUAUUUUUUUCUAUCGCAGGAUAAGGAUUAGUUGAUGCUAAUGACUGUCUGCAGUACCCCGGUCGGCCUACAAUGUGAGUUAAUCAAUGAGAAGGGGCAGCACUGAGCUAGUCUGCAACGUCACAUUCUGGAGUAGCUCAAACGGCUGCAUGUCAUGUCUCCAUGAGACGCCAUCUUACCCAAAUUAAUUUGGCUUCAAUGCGCUAUCGAGUCUUCACAUAGGAAUGAAUUGUGUCACGCGAUCAAUGGCUUUGUCCAUUCAUUGGUGCAGAGAGUCAUGGUCCUGUUGUCUGUGGAUGUACUGUAUCGAGAGCAGACACUCAUUAACACUCAAUAGUGCAGAUCAAUAAACGUGCUACACUGUAACUGUGCGCUAUCUUACCAGUUCCUAUGGUCAUUGCCACAGAGUCGGUCAAGACAGCACAAACAGAUCGUUACAUUAUAUCUGGUCUGGUCUGUCUGGCGUUACUGUACGAUAGCCAAGCUAUUCCGCUGACUGUUUCUUUCAGACAACAAAGAAGAAGAAGACAAUCAUUUGAAUUGAUCCAUCUAUUGAACAUCACCUUGGUUACUAGUUUGGGACUGAGAUGAAAAACAAAGACAAUGAGUCAGUUUAGCCUGGUCCCAGAUCUGUUGGUGCUGUCUUGCCAACUCAUAUGGACCUUGUCAUGGAUGUGGCUGUAUACAGCACAAAUAGAUCUGGCGCCAGGCUAUAGGAUCGAUUCUCUUCUGUUGUGACAUCAGGCUAUAGGAUCGAUUCCCUUCUGUUGUGACAUCAGGCUAUAGGAUCGCACCUCUUCUGUUGUGACAUCAGGCUAUAGGAUCGAUUCCCUUCUGUUGUGACAUCAGGCUAUAGGAUCGAUUCUCUUCUGUUGUGACAUCAGGCUAUAGGAUCGAUUCCCUUCUGUUGUGACAUCAGGCUAUAGGAUCGAUUCUCUUCUGUUGUGACAUCAGGCUAUAGGAUCGAUUCUCUUCUGUUGUGACAUCAGUCUAUAGGAUCGAUUCUCUUCUGUUGUGACAUCAGUCUAUAGGAUCGAUUCUCUUCUGUUGUGACAUCAGGAUAUAAGAUCGAUUCCCUUCUGUUGUGACAUCAGUCUAUAGGAUCGAUUCUCUUCUGUUGUGACAUCAGUCUAUAGGAUCGAUUCUCUUCUGUUGUGACAUCAGUCUACAGGAUCGAUUCUCUUCUGUUGUGACAUCAGUCUAUAGGAUCGAUUCUCUUCUGUUGUGACAUCAGGCUAUAGUAUCGAUUCUCUUCUGUUGUGACAUCAGUCUAUAGGAUCGAUUCUCUUCUGUUGUGACAUCAGGCUAUAGGAUCGAUUCUCUUCUGUUGUGACAUCAUCACAACAUCAUCCUCUUCAGAUGGGAGACAAGUACUGCAGUCGUCAUGGUGAAGUCCAGGGAUUCCCAAAAGGGGGACCAAGUUCAACGACGAUAAUUUAAAAGUCCAAUCUAGACUGAAAUAACAUCUAUAGACCUACACCUCACCCACAAAACUGGGCAGGGAGGAGAAGAAAUUAUAUUUACAAAACAAAUGUAUUUUAAAAUGUUUCAUUUUUCGUUAACUCCUUUCAAUUGAACACACAAACACAAUCCUGAUUUAUCAAAACAUCUAACAUUCCACGUUUUAUGGUUCAUAUAUAUCCUCAUUCUGUCCUCUGUAUAACUAUCAAAACAAUCUCAUAAAGUCAGAGAAACCACUGGUUAGCAUGAUACAAAAACAAGCUCUCUCUCUCUCUCUCGUAAACCUGUCAACACGACAUGCAACACACAAACUCAUCACAACAACACAACCACAUACCCCUGCCCAUGUCCAAACCCAUCAGCUGAGAUAGAGAAGACUUUCUCAAAGGGCUUCACUAAGACAUUAUUAUAAACCAUCUCUAAUAUAUAUAUAUUAUUGCAUUAUUAUAAACCAUCUCUUACAUAACAGCAGCUAUAUGGCCAUGUUCUGAAAGCAAAAUUAUCUUAUGGACAAUCUAUCUAUCUUUUCCAUCAGUCUAUCUAAUCCUCCUCACCCUGUCUCCAGAGCCAAACAAGUGGCACCUCAUUCCCUGCUCUCUGCAGAGACUCUGUGUGUAAUACCAUCUUUUCCCACUAGGUGGCAGAGAGGCCGUUAUAUAGCUCAUGCCAAGCCAGCGGGACCGGAUGGGCUUUUAAAAGAUUUCGUUUUUUAAAGAGUGAUAAAGACAAAGACUGUCAGUCACUAAGGGUUCUAUUCGAUCUGUAUCGCAGAAGUUCCGCUUUUACAGCGUGAUUGAAAUGUAAAGGUAAUGUAGCAGAGACUGCAUUCACGGUAAACACUGCGUAUGUCGGCUCAAAUUUUCCUUCACAUUUCUAUCGUGGGAAUCUGUAAACGCUUCAGCUUUCCUUUUGAACAGAGGUCUAAAUAUCUGCUUUGAAUGCUUUCGGUUAAAGAGUGGUUCAUUGCCUCUAUUCAAAACGACUGGGCUCUGGUUUCGAGAGAUUACAUGGGCUUGGAGGUAUUAUUUUAAGCUUAAAAACACAAUUCCUAAGUGUAAAAGGGCCAGAAAUGUCUCUUUUAAGUUGGUGUAAAAACCUCAAGAAAUUCGAAAUCUUAAAUAUUUUGCAAAACAGUCUUUAAAAACACCUGUGGUAUAGUAGUGUUACCCUGCGUACACAACAUCCUCUUUCCAAGGUCUACGUACAAAACAUGCCAGCUACAAAACCUAAGCAAACAGAUUUCCAUAACAAGGGACAGUUCCC
Molecule: long non-coding RNA, 3624 nt
Organism: Oncorhynchus tshawytscha (Chinook salmon)
Lineage: Eukaryota; Metazoa; Chordata; Actinopteri; Salmoniformes; Salmonidae
Source: Ensembl